This 1485-nucleotide ribosomal RNA is filed under the name uncultured Bordetella sp. Its description in RNAcentral is "partial 16S-23S ribosomal RNA intergenic spacer". It matches the Rfam family "Bacterial small subunit ribosomal RNA". The record is from RNAcentral. Lineage: Bacteria; Pseudomonadati; Pseudomonadota; Betaproteobacteria; Burkholderiales; Alcaligenaceae.
GUUCAAGAUCCUGGCUCAGAUUGAACGCUGGCGGGAUGCUUUACACAUGCAAGUCGAACGCGUUACCGGACUUCUGUCCAGGGCGAGUGGCGAACGUGGGUGAGUAAUACAUUUGAACGCUCAUAGUAGUGGGGAUAACACGCGAAAAGCGUAGCUAAUACCGCAUACGCCCUUCUUCGGGGGGAAAGCGGGGGGAUUCCUGGGGCCUCGCACUGAAGAGAGCGGCUGAUAUCGGAUUAGCUAGUUGAGGUAACGGCUCACCAAGGCGACGAUCCGUAGCUGGUUUGAGAGGACGACCAGCCACACUGGGACUGAGACACGGCCCAGACUCCUACGGGAGGCAGCAGUGGGGAAUUUUGGACAAUGGGGAAACCCUGAUCCAGCCAUCAUCCCGCGUGUGCGAUGAAGGCCUUCGGGUUGUAAAGCACUUUGGGAAAGAAACGGCACGGAUAACUGUGCAACCUGAUUUCGGUACUCUGCAGAAUAAGCACCGGCUAACUACGCCAGCAGCCGCGGUAAUGGAAAAAGGCGUUAAUCGGAAUUACUGGGCGUAAAGCGUGCGCAGGCGGUUCGAAAGAAAGAUGUGAAAUCCCAGAGCUUAACUUUGGAACUGCAUUUCUUAACUACCGAGCUAGAGCGUGCUCAGAGAGGAGGUGGAAUUCGGCGCAGUGGUGAAAUGCGUAGAUAUGCGGAGGAACACCGAUGGCGAAGGCAGCCUCCUGGGAUAACACUGACGCUCAUGCACGAAAGCGCGGGAGCCAAAACAGGAUUAGAUGUUCCGGUAGUCCACGCCCUAAACGAUGUCAACUAGCUGCUGGGGCCUUUCGGGCCUUGGUAGCGCAGCUAACGCGCGUGUGAAGUUGACCGCCCGGGGAGUACGGUCGCAAGAUUAAAACCCAAAGGAAUUGACGGACCCGCACAAGCGGUGGAUGAUGUGGAUUAAUUCGAUGCAACGCGAAAACCUUACCUACCCUUGGGAUAUGUCUGAAUCCCGAAGAGAUUUGGGAGUGCUCGCAAGAGAACCGGAACACAGGUGCUGCAUGGCUGUCGUCAGCUGUGUCGUGAGAUGUUGGGUUAAGUCCCGCAACGAGCGCAACCCUUGUCAUUAGUUGCUACGAAAGGGCACUCUAAUGAGACUGCCGGUGACAAACCGAGGAAGGUGGGGAUGACGUCAAGUCCUCAUGGCCCUUAUGGGUAGGGCUUCAGAUGACGUCAUACAAUGGUCGGGACAGUGGUCGCCAACCCGCGAGGGGGAGCCAAUCCCAGAAACCCGAUCGUAUCCGAUCGCAGUCUGCAACUCGACGUGAAGUCGGAAUCGCUAGUAAUCGCGGAUCAGCAUGUCGCGGUGAAUACGUUCCCGGGUCUUGUACACACCGCCCGUCACACCAUGGGAGUGGGUUUUGGCCAGAAGUAGUUAGCCUAACCGUAAGGAGGGCGAUUACCACGGUAUAAAUUCAUGACUGGGGUGAAGUCGUAACAAGGUAA